GCUGGAGCUCGGCAAGAGAGACGCAGCGCUGGCUGAGUACGCAUCUUCUUGCUUGCAAGCACCCCUACACAGGAGAGAGAAUAAUCACCCCUGGGGUCUGUCCCUUCUGGGACGUGCGCUCCAUGAUUGAUAGAGAUAAGGAAUGGGGGGGCAGAAAGUCCCAACCGGCACCCCAGAUCUCCACAGGAAGCCGCAGAACGCGACAGCUACUUGUGAUGGCUUGUAUAUGCUCGGCCCAGGGAGUGGCACU
RNAcentral lists this long non-coding RNA (250 nucleotides) under Mus pahari (shrew mouse). RNAcentral's name for it is "lncRNA (MGP_PahariEiJ_G0005373.1)". Lineage: Eukaryota; Metazoa; Chordata; Mammalia; Rodentia; Muridae. The record is from RNAcentral.